This is a long non-coding RNA of Oncorhynchus tshawytscha (Chinook salmon), 4390 nucleotides long. The record is from Ensembl. NCBI's taxonomy places the organism in Eukaryota, Metazoa, Chordata, Actinopteri, Salmoniformes, Salmonidae.
ACGUUAAUGUUUUGUAAACUCAGGGCAGUAAUCUGCAAAUAUCCUUCUUGGCCAUUAAACAGAGAGACACCAGAUAAACAAUACAAAUCUUUUUAAUUCACUGACAACUUUGGUUUCCUACAUGUAACAUCACAUCAUGUACGUAACUGUCGUAGUAUCUAACAUCACAUCAUGUAUGUAACUGUCGUAGUAUGUAACAUCACAUCAUGUAUGUAACUGUAGUAGUAUGUAACAUCACAACAUGUAUGUAACUGUCGUAGUAUGUAACAUCACAUCAUGUAUGUAACUGUAGUAGUAUGUAACAUCACAACAUGUAUGUAACAUCACAUCAUGUAUGUAACAUCACAACAUGUAUGUAACUGUAGUAGUAUGUAACAUCACAUCAUGUAUGUAACUGUAGUAGUAUGUAACAUCACAACAUGUAUGUAACAUCACAUCAUGUAUGUAACAUCACAUGUAUGUAACUGUAGUAGUAUGUAACAUCACAUCAUGUAUGUAACUGUAGUAGUAUGUAACAUGUAUGCAACUUUAGUAGUAUGUAACAUUAUGUAUGUAACUGUAAUAGUAUGUAACAUGUAUGUAACUUUAGUAGUAUGUAACAUGUAUGUAACAUUAUGUAUGCAACUGUAGUAGUAUGUAACAUCACAUCAUGUAUGUAGCAGCAUGUAUGUAACUGUAGUAGUAUGUAACAUGUAUGUAACAUCACGUAUGUAACUGUAGUAGUAUGUAACAUCACGUAUGUAACUGUAGUAGUAUGUAACAUCAUGUAUGUAACUGUAGUAGUAUGUAACAUCACAUAAUGUAUGUAACUGUAGUAGUAUGUAACAUCACGUAUGUAACAUCAUGCAUGUAACUGUAGUAGUAUGUAACAUGUAUGUAACUGUAGUAGUAUGUAACAUGUAUGUAACAUCACGUAUGUAACUGUAGUAGUAUGUAACAUCACGUAUGUAACUGUAGUAGUAUGUAACAUCAUGUAUGUAACUGUAGUAGUAUGUAACAUCACAUAAUGUAUGUAACUGUAGUAGUAUGUAACAUCAUGCAUGUAACUGUAGUAGUAUGUAACAUGUAUGUAACUGUAGUAGUAUGUAACAUCACAUAUGUAACUGUAGUAGUAUGUAACAUCACAUAUGUAACUGUAGUAGUAUGUAACAUCAUGUAUGUAACUGUAGUAGUAUGUAACAUCUACGUAACUGUAGUAGUAUGUAACAUGUACGUAACUGUAGUAGUAUGUAACAUGUAUGUAACUGUAGUAGAAUGUAACAUCACAUAUGUAACUGUAGUAGUAUGUAACAUCAUGUAUGUAACUGUAGUAGUAUGUAACAUGUACGUAACUGUAGUAGUAUGUAACAUGUACGUAACUGUAGUAGUAUGUAACAUGUAUGUAACUGUAGUAGUAUGUAACAUCAUGUAUGUAACUGUAGUAGUAUGUAACAUCACAUAUGUAACUGUAGUAGUAUGUAACAUCAUGUAUGUAACUGUAGUAGUAUGUAACAUCACAUCAUGUAUGUAAUUGUAGUAGUAUGUAACAUGUAUGUAACUGUAGUAGAAUGUAACAUCAUGUAUGUAACUGUAGUAGUAUGUAACAUCACAACAUGUAUGUAACUGUUGUAGUAUGUAACAUCACAACAUGUAUGUAACUGUAGUAGUAUGUAACAUCACAACAUGUAUGUAACUGUAGUAGUAUGUAACAUCACAACAUGUAUGUAACUGUGGUAGUAUGUAACAUCACAUAUGUAACUGUAGUAGUAUGUAACAUCACAUCAUGUAUAUAACUGUGGUAGUAUGUAACAUCACAUAAUGUAUGUAACUAGUAGUAUGCAACAUCACAUAUGUAACUGUAGUAGUAUGUAACAUCACAUCAUGUAUAUAACUGUGGUAGUAUGUAACAUCACAUAAUGUAUGUAACUGUAGUAGUAUGCAACAUCAUGUAUGUAACUGCAGUAAUAUGUAAAUGUAGUAAUAUGUAACAUCAUGAAUGUAACAUGUAUGUAACUGUAGUAGUAUGUAACAUCACAUAAUGUAUGUAACUGUAGUAGUAUGUAACAUCACGUAUGUAACUGUAGUAGAAUGUAACAUCAUGCAUGUAACUGUAGUAGAAUUAUGUAACAUGUAUGUAACUGUAGUAGUAUGUAACAUGUAUGUAACUGUAGUAGUAUGUAACAUGUAUGUAACUGUGGUAGUAUGUAACAUCACAUAUGUAACUGUAGUAGAAUGUAACAUCAUGUAUGUAACUGUAGUAGUAUGUAACAUCACAACAUGUAUGUAACUGUAGUAGUAUGUAACAUCACAACAUGUAUGUAACUGUAGUAGUAUGUAACAUCACAUCAUGUAUGUAACUGUAGUAGUAUGUAACUGUAGUAGAAUGUAACAUCAUGUAUGUAACUGUAGUAGUAUGUAACAUCACAACAUGUAUGUAACUGUUGUAGUAUGUAACAUCACAACAUGUAUGUAACUGUAGUAGUAUGUAACAUCACAACAUGUAUGUGACUGUAGUAGCAUGUAACAUCACAACAUGUAUGUAACUGUAGUAGCAUGUAACAUCACAACAUGUAUGUAACUGUAGUAGUAUGUAACAUCACAACAUGUAUGUAACUGUGGUAGUAUGUAACAUCACAUAUGUAACUGUAGUAGUAUGCAACAUCAUGUAUGUAACUGUAGUAGCAUGUAACAUCACAACAUGUAUGUAACUGUAGUAGCAUGUAACAUCACAACAUGUAUGUAACAUCACAUAUGUAACUGUAGUAGUAUGCAACAUCAUGUAUGUAACUGUGGUAGUAUGUAACAUCAUGUGUGUAACUGCGGUAGAAUGUAACAUCAUGUAAGUAACUGUUGUAGUAUGUAACAUCACAACAUGUAUGUAACUGUAGUAGUAUGUAACAUCAUGUAUGUAACAUCAUGUAGGUAACAUCAUGUAAGUAACUGUGGUAGUAUGUAACAUCACAUUAUGUAUGUAACUGUAGUAGUAUGUAACAUCAUGUACUGUAUGUAACUGUAGUAGUAUGUAACAUGUAUGUAACUGUGGUAGUAUGUAACAUCAUGUAUGUAACUGUGGUAGAAUGUAACAUCAUGUAUGUAACUGUAGUAGUAUGUAACAUCACAUCCUGUUUGUAACAUUACAUCCUGUAUGUAACUGUGGUAGUAUGUAACAUCAUGUAUGUAACUGUAGUAGUAUGUAACAUCAUGUAUGUAACAUCACAUCAUGUAUGUAACUGUGGUAGAAUGUAACAUGAUGUAUGUAACUGUGGUAGAAUGUAACAUCACAUCAUGUAUGUAACUGUGGUAGUAUGUAACAUCACAUCAUGUAUGUAACUGUAGUAGUAUGUAACAUCAUGUAUGUAACAUCACAUCAUGUAUGUAACUGUGGUAGAAUGUAACAUCAUGUAUGUAACUGAGAGUCUCUGUGAUGCAGUCUACAGUCUACUACAGUGAGAUGCAGUCUACAGUCUACUACAGUGAGAUGCAGUCUACAGUCUACUACAGUGAGAUGCAGUCUACAGUCUACUACAGUGAGAUGCAGUCUACAGUCUACUACAGUGAGAUGCAGUCUACAGUCUACUACAGUGAGAUGCAGUCUACUACAGUGAGAUGCAGUCUACUACAGUGAGAUGCAGUCUACUACAGUGAGAUGCAGUCUACAGUCUACUACAGUGAGAUGCAGUCUACUACAGUGAGAUGCCUUCUACAGUCUACUAGAGUGAGAUGAAGCCUACAGUCCACUACAGUGAGAUACAGUGAGAUGCAGUCUACUACAGUGAGAUGCAGUCUACUACAGUGAGAUGCAGUCUACAGUCUACUACAGUGAGAUGCAGUCUACAGUCUACUACAGUGAGAUGCUGUCUACAGUCUACUACAGUGAGAUGCAGUCUACUACAGUGAUAUGCAGCCUACUACAGUGAGAUGCAGUCUACUACAGUGAGAUACAGUCUACAGUCUACUACAGUGAGAUGCAAUCUACUACAGUGAGAUGCAGUCUACAGUCUACUACAGUGAGAUGCUGUCUACAGUCUACUACAGUGAGAUGCAGUCUACUACAGUGAUAUGCAGUCUACUACAGUGAGAUGCAGUCUACAGUCUACUACAGUGAGAUGCAGUCUACAGUCUACUACAGUGAGAUGCAGUCUACAGUCUACUACAGUGAGAUGCAAUCUACUACAGUGAGAUGCAGUCUACAGUCUACUACAGUGAGAUGCAGUCUACAGUCUACUACAGUGAGAUGCAGUCUACAGUCUACUACAGUGAGAUGCAGUCUACAGUCUACUACAGUGAGAUGCAGUCUACAGUCUACUACAGUGAGAUGCAGUCUACAGUCUACUACAGUGAGAUGCAGUCUACUACAGUGAGAUACAGUCUACUACAGUGAGAUACAGUCUACAGUCUACUACAGUGAGAU